This 162-nucleotide ribosomal RNA is filed under the name uncultured bacterium. RNAcentral's name for it is "partial 16S ribosomal RNA". It matches the Rfam family "Bacterial small subunit ribosomal RNA", at positions 1339 to 1500 of the family's 1533-position model. The record is from RNAcentral.
UAAUCGCGGAUCAGCAUGCCGCGGUGAAUACGUUCCCGGGCCUUGUACACACCGCCCGUCACACCAUGAGAGCCGGUAACACCCGAAGUCAGGAGCCUAACCGCAAGGAGGGCGCUGCCGAAGGUGGGAUUGGUAAUUGGGGUGAAGUCGUAACAAGGUAGC